Molecule: non-coding RNA, 1527 nt
Organism: Cyanistes caeruleus (blue tit)
Lineage: Eukaryota; Metazoa; Chordata; Aves; Passeriformes; Paridae
Source: RefSeq, a predicted model, not a curated record
AAAACAAAGCUCAGGUUCACAUUAAAGUACUCCAACACAGUUAGGUCACUGGCUGACUAAAACAUAAUAUUUGCACUUAUAAAGAGGAGCAGGCACACUGCUUGAGAAAGGCAUGGAGCAAAACAGCCUUACCCACACUCCAGAGUAAAACACUACAUAUUUACUACCUCUGCAGGAGCAAGGCUAUUACUUAGAUUUCUACAAAGGUUAUUAACAAAAUUUGACAAACAAACCAACUCAGUUUCAUUAUAUACAAAUAGAGCACAAAUAAAACUCACGUUUCUAAACGAUUUCUGCUCAUUGAAUGUUAACAAAUGCAUUAUCAAAGAACUAGCACAUAAGAGAAUAUUCACUAUAGUGCCUUUAACGAAGAAAAGCAAACUUGACAGGCCUUUCAUCAAAGCUCUUUACUUGAGAAGCCACAAAAGUUAGAAGCCUAAGCAAAUUGACAUAUAACUUCUAUCCUAAAUGAAAUCAUAAAGUUAGCUUUCAUAACUAAACUUUAAAGUAACAUCCUAAAAACACCCAAAAGCAAACCAACAGUUUCCCUUAAACAAACACACCAAAAGUCACCCUAACACCAUAUCUACUACCCCCAAAAAACUGAUUUAACUCUUGGUGUGAGUAUUUAUACCCCAAGCCUGUUGUUGCCUGAUUGAUCUCAUUACCUUUGCUAAUUGGGCUGGACAUGCUUAAAUUCACCUGGAAAAGGGCAGCCGUUUUCUGUUUGGUGAUGGUGGGGUUGCAUGAGUGACCCUAACUGCUAAUAUUAAGAAAAAACCUGUUCCUUUGUCUUUUUCUGUUGCUUUGUGAGCUGAGUAGUACCUUUUAUCUACAUUUGUUUAAGUAACAUGUUAGGCAAAGAAUUUUUCCUAAGUCUUUGUGGUAUGGAACAAAAGGACAGACACCUUGCACAUGAAAGAAUAUCCCCCAGACCACCUGAUUUAGGGGUGAUGAAAACUUCUGAUCUGUGGACUGCAGUUUCAAGAGUUAAUUUAGGUGAUGUUUGGAUUUUGAGAUUCCCAUCCUGCACUGCUUGGGAAUCAAAGCAGCUCAGUGAUGCAGAGCUGAUCCUAAAAUGAUAAACCAGUUCAGCCUCAAUCUGUCAGAGGUUCUGCAAGUGCAUGGAAAUGUUUCUAUUCUGGUAUUUUGGGAGACCUUGCUUGUAAAUACAAGCAGUUAUUUAGGGAGAGUUUGAUUAAUUGGGAAGGAGAAAAGAAUAUGAUUAUAGGUUUGGCUUCCUUUUAUGCAUUUUUACAGAAUUGGAAUAGAGCACACAGACUGAUGCAGAAAGAAGUUUAUUGAAUGCUUCACUGACAAAACUACAAUUGUGGGAAUAGGUUUUUUGCUGUUUCAUUACUCCAAUUCUGAACCCUGAGCUAGGGUCCUGCUCCAGCAAAUGAUUUUGUGUUCAUAGAAUUUUUUUAGGUUUUAAAGGCAAGGUGAGGAACAAGUAAAGAAAAUUGAGCCAGUUAAUUUUUUUUUUUGUUUUUUUCACCACUUGAACCAGGAGCAGGGGUGGAAGAA